This 42234-nucleotide long non-coding RNA is filed under the name Linum usitatissimum (flax). Its description in RNAcentral is "long non-coding RNA (LUSI_LNC007783)". Lineage: Eukaryota; Viridiplantae; Streptophyta; Magnoliopsida; Malpighiales; Linaceae. The record is from RNAcentral.
GAAACGCCAUCUUUUCUCACCAUUGUAGCUUCGAAAAUUCAAAAAGAGAUGGCGAUUUCGCAGAACUUCACCACUUCCCUGGCGAUCCUCCUUAUAGCAAGCUCAGCAUUAUUGAGCUCCUCACCAUGUAGAGCUCGUUCACUACCCGGAGGCUCAACCAUCCAAAACUCCGGCCCUUCACCGGGUGAAGGGCACAGGUCACCGCUCCCGACCACUUUCCUACCUACUACAACAAAUUUCACAUUUCCAAGCACUCGCCUUAUAUAUAGACAUACUGUGAAAUCAAUCUUCAUACAGUCUCAGAAACGCCAUCUUUUCUCACCAUUGUAGCUUCGAAAAUUCAAAAAGAGAUGGCGAUUUCGCAGAACUUCACCACUUCCCUGGCGAUCCUCCUUAUAGCAAGCUCAGCAUUAUUGAGCUCCUCACCAUGUAGAGCUCGUUCACUACCCGGAGGCUCAACCAUCCAAAACUCCGGCCCUUCACCGGGUGAAGGGCACAGGUCACCGCCCCCGACCACUUUCAAAGAAGCCGCCUUUAAACUUGAGGAAUCUGGCCCUUCACCGGGUGAAGGGCACGGGUCACCGCACGCGGCCGCCACUUUCGAAGAAGCCGCCUUUAAACUCGACAAAUCUGGUCCGGCUCCUGGGGAGGGACAUAAGCUAUAUAUAUAGUCUUUCAUAUACAACUCUUAAACUACAUAAGUCCAGUCCUGCUCCUAAUAAGUGACAUAUGUUUUUUGAUAUUAUAUGUACUGACUAUGAAUGUAUUAUGUAUAUUAUUUGAAAAUUUGUAACCAAAUAUGAAAUGAAAAAAACAUAGUUAUAUGGUUGCAUAACUAUUUUAAACUUAACAUGUCUCUUAAUGUUAAUGUCAAAAACUAAUUGGUCUCCUAAAUUUGGGUCAAGUUAUGCAGUAGUUUCAAGACGUUCAAAUCGACUACAACAUUAUCGAUUUCAAUUUUAGAUUUUAGAUUUCGAGUUUCGCAUUUGAGUUAUCAAAAAUACCGAAAAUGUCAAAAACCUAAAAAAAUAAGUAUUUAGAAAAUAUCAAAAAUGCCCCCACAAUAAAAAAAUUUAGAAAUUAUGGAACUUUUUUCCCUAAAUUUAAAACUGCUCUCGACCCUGAGGCCUCAUGUGUCUGAUCCUCCUGGUAAAGGGCACAAGCUAUCUAACCUUUUAUACUAUACGGUUAAACCAUAUAUGUUUAGUCCUUCUCUUGACGAGGAACAUAAAAUUCUCUUAUAUUUCUCUCAAAACCUUGAAGCCUCACGAGUCUGGUCCUAUUUCUGGCGAGGGACAUAAAUCCCAUGACGAUACAAUAAUAUCUUUGAGGUUCACACAAUUAUAAUUUGUUUAGUUUUUAUUAUCAUUAUAUAUGUAUCAAAUUACUAUUAUAUUUUUAGAAAAUCAAUACUUUUUCAUUGACUUAUAUAAGUAUUCUUACUAAUUUGGUUAUAUGAAUGGUAUGUCUACAACUUAAAUAGAUACUAUCAAUCCUUAUAUUGAUUAUUAUUGAUUGUCUGGCCACGCAAAAUGAAUUUAAUCAUUGCGACUUCAAUUUUGAAGGAGUACGAAAUUUUUUUCUAAUAUCAUGUGGGAGUCGAUUGCGAUUGGACCCACAUGAACAAAAAAAAAGGGUUUGUAGAGGGAAAGUAAGAGAGAAUUGAAUGCGAGAUAUGAAACUUGAUGCCAACAAGUCAAUACUAGUCAUCCACUUGAACAACAUAGAAUGACAAAACACUUUUAGUGAGUUUUAGACAGUUGAGAUACACAAUGUUGGAAGUCAACCACUACUAUUUCUUCUUCUUGCAUACACACAACCUUUAGAACAACUCAAACCAACCAAAUCUAAGUCAUGAACCAUCCAACCCAAGCCUUAUUGAACUCGAUCGAUCUGUCCAAUUCCCGACCGAACCCAACCAUACAAACAUCGCUCACCCACCAACAUUUACCAAGCUCCAAAGAUCAACAUGCUAAUUGGUCUCUGAGCGAAGAGAUCUCUUCAAAGAUGGGUAGCCUCUUGGACCUUGACCUGGCCCAUCUUCUCAUGAACUCCUCAAGCCCAUUCAUGAAAUCUUCAUCGUCCAGGUCCAAGCCCAUCAGGCCCAUCGUAUCUUGAGGCAACUGGCGUAGUCUGAUCUCUCCGAUCAACUCCUCAGCACGAUUCCUCGCCCGAGUGUCGUCUGAGCCAGGGAGCCUACACUGAGAGACUUCUUCCAGAACUGAAUGGCCCUCAUCGUACCGGGCCUGCUUCAUCAAGCACAGGCCCAAAUUGCAGGCCUUGUUGGCGUCUGGAUCGAUCAUUUGAGCCUUCUUGUACACCACCUCCGCUGCUAUGUAGUUGGGCUUCUGCAUGUAGGCCCAUCCCAAGUUCCCCUGCAAGUGUUAUCAUUUCUGAUUUAGUUUCGUAUGCCAAAAACCAAAUCACUAAGUAUGAAGGGGAAUAGCUUCAGUGGUAGAGCGUGUGUCUGAUGAUUUAGAGAUUUUGAAUUCGAAUUCAGUAUAUUUUAUAAUAUGAACAUCCUAUUGUGUUUGCUUUAUGUCUCCUACUUUGUAUUGACCGAGUCUCGGCCUACUAUGAUAAAGAAAACUCAUGUUCGGAAUAUUUCACACUUAAUAUGAUCAUAAGUUACUAUAUGACUAGAUUAAAAUUGGUCUGAUCAAUAUGGUAAUGAGUUUAUCCAAUCGUUUGAUUGUGAGACAAUUGAACAUGUUGAGUCCGGUUCAGAACCUUAUAAGAAAGCGAGUAUACAACCGUUUUGACUAAGGAUAACGGUUAUGCAAACAUUGUCACCGCUAAAGUUAACGCGGUCAAAACUGACGUAAGAUGGUGAACCAACCCUCUUCUAAUUAAAUCGAUCUAGGAUACACUUUUCAACCGUGAUUAAGGAACAUCGACCAUUGGUCGAACCGAUCGAGCUUACCAGUAAUCGGGAGGUCUCUUGCUGAACCGAAACCUGGAAUUUCUUGCCGUGAGAGCGAGCAGUUUUGGUGGGUCUGCCAUUGAAGGUCUCGCCCAAGUAUAUUAAUCUCAGCUUCCUCUUCAGAAGCUCUAUCUGCUCAUCCACCUUCCCACAUUUCUGCACGAUGCACAAAUGUUACCUUUCUUUCACUCUUUUACUGGCCAACAGUCUAUCGCAAUGUAUGUACGUGUUUCCAAAUGGGUGUUUUUUUGCGACGAAAAAUUGUAGAUAGUACCUUGUACAAGUCGAUGAGGACAUUGUCGAGGGAGUCCUGAGCCUGCUUCGAGCAGCGUCGUCGGAAGGACUUGAUGGCUUCAAUGGCUUCCUCACUUCGGUUGAGUUGCCUCAUGACGACGGCCAUGUCUUUGAGUGCACUGUCGACUCGAUCUCCUGCGUUUAUCGCCUUCCAAAACCAUACUAUCGCUGCCUCGCCAUCCUUCUCCACCAACUAUGUCCAUGUAAAUUAACAAUCAAAUUGAUUUAAGGCCAUGUUUGGUAAUACAUGAACUGCAAUUUGUUGUUAAUCUACAAAUUACACACUAAUUCAUGUGACUGAAAUAUCACAUGACUCAUUAAAUUUCCAACCAAAAAAAAUCAAAAUCUCACUUUACCAAACCGGUCUAAUUGUUUUUGGUUUUAAUGAAUCAGAACCGGUCGCGUUGUUAAAUUCAAUAGUGUAAAUUCGAUCUUACAAGACCAGUUUUUGCAGUCUUAUAAAACUCCAUUCGCCACCAGUUUUGAGCUUAUAUAGACAUGUGGGAUAAGUUGAGUAACACAACAAUUAUACAUACAUAGAAAAAUAUCAUAUCUUAAUUAUCGUAUGGAUAAUAAGAGUUACAAACCAAGCUAGCUAGCUAGAAACUACAUGUAAACUUGAUUAUGUGUAAUUGAAAUCAUAUGUAGUUAAUUAUAUAGCAUACCGUCGAAAAAUAAAUCUCUACUUUUCCAAAUCACUCUACGUACCCACAUAUAGUAUAUAAGGGAUUAUACUAAAUCUGACGAACUUAUUGCUUACAGAUCAUAUAUAUAUAUAUAAACAGUAAACAAGGUGAGCAGCUAACAACAACAACGACAAAGAGUCAAACUAGCUCGGAAAAGAGUAUAAACCUGAGCAUGCUUGGCUUUGACAUAAGGGCCAUCACCAGAAGGAACCUUGUGAAGAAUAUGAACUAGUUCAUCCUUGCUAGUAGUCCCCAUAGCUUGAGCUUCUGAUCUCCAACUUACUUGAUUCCUUUUGGGUCUGGUUUGAGACCUGAGAGAGAGAGAGAGAUGUGAUGAAUGAAGAGGAAUCAACAGAGUAGGUCCAGAAAUAAUACUUUUUUUUUAUUCCAAAUAGUGCUGGAAAAUUGCUAAGGUGGUUGAGUAUGAUUAAGAAUGAACCUGGAUGGCUUCAUGUCUUUGUUCUUCUUCUCCUUCAUCUGAUAACUGGUUUUUUUUGCCUUUCUCUUGUCUUUUAGGCAGGUAAAUUCAAUGGAAUCUAUUAAUAUAAGGUUUCGUUUGGAAAAUAGAAAAUUGGAUGUUAUAUUUAGAUGGCUGUUUGAAAGUUUGCUUUUUGAAAUUUAUUUAACUUUUUUCACUCGAUUAGAAAAGAUAUUCAAAAUUAAUCCAUCCACCCACUUUUCCAUAUGUCAAACGAAACAUAAAUGAAUUGUCACGUUUAUAUAUACCGAUUUGGUGGAUUUUCUCUAGAUCAUGAUUCAAUUUAAUAUAAGGAUGAUUUUAUUGUUUUGAUAUUUCAUUUUUUGGGUAUAAAUAUGCUUAAAAUUCCAAAUGAUCUUCUACGUACCAACCCGUGCAUGGAAAAAAUCACCAUGCAUUAUGCAAUUUAAUACGGUGUACUUUCAUUAUGCACCAUAUUUAUUUAUACAAUGUAUUUUUACCAUGCAAAAUAUAUCUUGAUAUUUUACACUUUCACUGCUCCGCGCACUGCACAUGUUGAUAUGGCGAGCUUCCACUGUCCAGGUGAAUUUUCUGUGGGUCACGAUUCUAUUUAAUUCGACAAUAAUUUUACAAUUUUGAUAUCUUAUAUUGUCUUUUCUAUACUUAGAGGCAUAAGUAUGAACUGGACCAGUUAGCUGCAUAUCCCAUUAUUGUAUACAUCUAUUCAUAUUUUAAAAUUAAGAAAAAUGGAUAAAUAUACUUUUUAAAAUCUAAUAUUAAGUUAAAAUAUAUAAAAUAAAAACAUAAAUGUGUCACCGUAAUUUUAUUUUAUUUGUUAAAAUUUGUAAUUAUUACUCAUUAAUCUGUUUAUACAUGUGUUGGACUCGAAUCUGGAACCUUCAAUUCACCGACACAUAUCUCAAAUUCAAAUACUAAAUCUCUCGAUCGAUACAAAAUAAAAAAAAAAUACAUUACAAUGGUAUUUAUUUAUAGGGUGCGUUGGACUCGAACCCGAAACCUUCAAUUCACCGACACACAUCCCUACCACUAUAACUACCCCACUUAAGUAUUGAAUUGCCUUAAUCAUUCGACAAGUUCCCAUAUUCUACAACUACCUCACAAGAAGCUUGUCAUCACUUCAUCUUUAAAAGGAAAUGGGUAAGGCAAGCAUACUAACAGCCCCAACAUCAAAACCAAUACUCCAAGGUAAAUGUACUUGUCCUCGGGCUCCGAUACCUCUUCCGAGAUCGGAGCAAUCGGUCCCCUCUGCAAGAAGAAUAUCAGAACAACCCAGUAGAAGGCGAUGUCGUUAAACAACGACGAUAGCCCCAGUAGGACGACAGAGGCACCCGUUAAUCGAGAUGAGAUCUGCAGACAAACCGGCAUCCGUUACAGCGUUAGAAAUCUGAAACGUGUCCAUAUGGAGAAGAUGAGUGUAGCAUCAUGGAUGGUAUUGGCAGUACCUUUCUUCCCCAUAUGGCGAAAGAGAUUCUUCCUCCGUCGAGCUCUCCGGCAGGGAUGCUAUUGAUGGCGUUUAUUAGAAGUCCGGACCAUGCCCAUAUCACGAGCGGGUUGAUGGAUAUUGGAGUCCCUUCCUUGAGUGCUUCUCCUAGAAGGAGCUUGGCUAUAAAGGCGACGUAAACACAACUUCUUUUCAAUCAUUUAGCCAGAAUAGAAAAUGCAAUGCAGAUAUAAUGAUUACCAAACCAUGAAAAAGAAAAAGACAGUGAAUCAUUUAUCGACGUUUAAAGGUGGCUAUGAAGGUAGUUGGUGAUCAUGAAUUGUUCCAUUUACCACUUAAGAUGCAGGGAUAAGUAUGGUCAUGUAAGGUAGUGAAGUGCUUACCGAUACCACCGGCAAGAAAUGAUUCAUGAAAGACGGUAGGAUCCACAAUGAUACCAAUUCCAUCACUGGGUGGUAAGAAGAAUCCCAGCAGAAGAAGAACAAGACCCAAGGAAAAGCCUGCUAGAGGGCCAGCAGCUGCAACCUUCAGAAGAUCUUCACGUUUGGCAACAAUGUUCCUUAUCCUUGUGAUAGCACCAAAGGAGCCUAUCUGCCCAUCAACUUAGUUCAUUAGAACCAUCCUAUUCCUUACUGAAGAACACUUAUAGGAAGACAAACUAGGCCGAAAAUUUGAUGAUAGAAACAGAUAUUCUUGAUGGAAGCAAAUGAGACAUCAGAAGACGGAAAAUGGUUCCCACUGGAUACCAUAAACAUCAAAUUACUGCAUUUUACCUGCCAACUUGGAACAAAGUAUGGAACUCCAAGCUUAAUCCCAAUAUCUUUAGCAACCAAUAUGUGGCCAAGCUCGUGUACCCCGAGAACAAGUGCAGUGACAAGAGCUCCAGGAAGGCCAUUAUAUAUCAAUUCGGGAUUUUCAAAGGUUGAUCUGCACCAAGCAUAUAUAUGAAUAUAUUUUCAAAAUUAUGUUGACGAACGAAAAAGAUUUGACUGAAGUUGCAACCCGUAGCUUCAUUUUCUCAAGGAAAAGAAACGGAAAGAAAGAAGAAUCGUCAUAAUUUGUUUGAAACACACAAUGUAUUAAGCCAAGUUACAUGAUAAAAUAUGGAUGCAUCUAUGUACGUACAGUAAGUUGGACUGCAGUUGGGGCACAUUUCUAAGAAGUAGCGUAAAAACUGCAACCAGUCCAAAAGCCCCUGCUGCAAACCACUCAGGAACGGCUGGAAAAUAACCAACAACGUCAUUGUCAGAAUGCACAAGUUUUACCCUUCCUGGAUAUUACUUUCCAAAUUCGUACUUACGUGUUGUCUCUGGUUGCAUAGUCUUGCUUGGAACAACUACUGCAACUGGUUUAUCAUCCUCUGGAUUAGUGAGAAGGAAAACCUUGUAUUCGUUGCCAAAUUUAUUCUGCAUGACGUAAGAACAACAAUUCAGAUGCCACUCACACGACCUGAUCGAAAAGUAACAAGUCAAUUCAGUUCAUACCUUCAAUCUGUUAGCGAUUUUAUCAUAGCUUUUUGCAGCUUGCCCACGGAGGUUUCCUUUGAACAAGACUCCACCCUGUGAAUAAUAAAUCAAUAAAGGUUAAUCAUUCACAAGAUGAUAUCUAACCUAGAAACUAGUAGAUAGCUAAAGUAGAUGAUCAAUGGUGUCCAUUUCCAAUGGCAUCUGAAAUUUCUAGCUGAGCUGUAACAACUUCGUCAAUAUUCAGAGAAGAUCCAGAACUAGUAUUAUUAAGUAGUAACAUUCAUAUAUCUUACUGGAAAGGAAGCGAUAAAUUAUCAUCCUCAGACCUGAUAGGGCUCCUGACUUGUGACGAAGAAAGUAUCAAACCCGAACACUUGGUCCUUGAGGAUGUCGAUUGUCUCCUUUGGAAUCCUAAAUGAUUCAUCCAGCUGCUGCAGCUGUCGAGCAAGAUGUGUGAGAGAACAUUCUCAGAGACAAUUGUUCUACAAUGCCAAGAAAUUAAAAUACCUCCUAUGAAUUAUGUUUACCUUCAUUCCCGGGAGAGGGGAUCCCGAAGCAACUUCUACUUCCUCAGCAUCCUGUCCAAACAAAACUUUCUAAAAUGAGAAACCUUGCAACUUCUAAUCAUUUAUUGACUUGAUACAACUUGCAAUCAAAAGCACUAAUUGAAUACAUUCACAUGGUUAUACAAGUAAAUUGUUGACCAGAUUGAUGAAGGAUGUUCCAUUUGCACCAAGUAUGAGAGCAACUGCAGUAAACAAUAUGCUGGACUCAAAUGCAGGAUAUACAGAUAAAGUACCCCGGUUCCACCUUCAGCUUUAGUUUCCCCAUCGAAAGUGGUAACUUGGUUCAACACUGUAGGCGGAGAAUCUGGCUGGGGAUCUUGUUGUUCUAAUGAAUCUACCCUAGGUGCUGCCUCUCCCUCACUUGCUUUGUGUUCAUCGUUUUCCUGAAGAUAGAGACACAUUCCACGUUCAACCACUUCAACUAAGGACUCAAUCAAAAAAAUCCUUCAUUACUUGGCACCUGAAGCAUUCACCUUAUCGUCAUUACUAUCAGGUUCAGUCUCCGUAGCUCUACAAACUAUUCUUCUUUUCUUCCCAUGAAAUCUGGAUUCAAUGUAACGGAUUAUCUCAUUAAUUCCUGACGAAAAAACGAGGCCAUAACACAAAUCGAAGUUGGAUUUCAACUUACUUAGACACUAUGCAAAACUUGAAAUCUCUGGAGUGAUACCGUCUCAGUCGGCAGGAAGUACGGAAUGUCUCUGGCAAUGGCAGAGACCGAAGAUCGUAAGAACAAGAGGUGCUACCCGGCGGCGAGUAAAGCAACAAUGGACAACAACUGCCGCGAAAGAUAGUCGAAGUGCUGCUCAUUCUACAAUUUUUUCAGCUGAAUCGGAGCCCCAACUCCAUACAAAAAUGGCAAGCUCAAGUGCUCUACUGGCGGACAACUACACCGUCUUCCGCCGGUGUUUUAUCAAAUGAGAAGUCAGGACUCAAGGCGUGGAAAUCGGAUCUGGUUCCCGUCGGUCAGACCGGGUUUCGGGUCGGCUAAACCUUAUCCCUGGGCAAUUUGGGAGGCUGGUGGAAGAUGAAGAUUGUUCUUCACUAGCAUUUCUGAAGUUGCAAACUGAACACCGGAAGCAUAGAUCGGACGGUUGACGUUUCAAGUUUCCUAGUAUAGUGAUCGAACGGUUACUGGUCACUUUCUUCUAUAUAGGCUUGAUGGGCUAUCGUAAUGGAUUAUGGUUACAUGGGCCUAGACUCUUUUGGGCUACCCAAGAGAAAUAUGCAGCAAAUUUGUUGCAGAAGUAUAAAUUCUUAUAACUAGUUACAUACGCAAAUAACACAUAGAAACAAUAUAGAGGAUAAAUAAUACCAGAAAAAAAUAAUGAAGACAUGAACUGACAAAUUUAUGAACAGGGGUAAAAACAGCUUCAAAUAUGAUUUCUUUUUUUUUGCCUUAAUUACAAACUAUGAUAUUUUUUUCUGAACCACUUCCUCUUUGAUCUUAACUAAAUGCAGAAGAGAAUAAAGAGGAACCAACCAACAUAAGCAAAAGAACAAAGACCUUGCCACCCCGUUCAUAUUUCAUAAGAGCUCUCUGAUGAAGCUUAAGAGCUAAAAACCCAACCAACCGCAGAAGACACCAUCUUUUUUUUUUUGCUUGACUACUUAGAAACAGUACUUGGAAUAACAAUGCAGCCAACUCUUAAACCACUUAUAGCAUACGAUAACUGUAGAUGAGUGCUUUAGCCCGGUCAUGCUUGGUUGUCGCCUCCACCCCCUGUGCGGCCACCACCCCUUCCUCGGCCACGACCAUAGCUCCUGCCGCCUCCUCUCCCUCCUCUGCCACCUUCGUAACCGCCUCCUCUGUUUCCUUCGUAUCCGCCUCGAUAUCCACUCAUUCUGCCUCCUUCGUAUCCAUCACCUCUGUUGCCACCUUCGUAACCGCCUCCUCUCCCUCCUCCAUAUCCACCUCUUCCUCCUUCAAACCCACCGCCUCUUCGUCCUCCAUAUCCACCCCUGCCUCCUUCAUACCCGCCAUCUCUGCCUCCUUCGUACCCGCCACCUCUGCCUCCUUCGUACCCGCCACCUCGGCCUCCACCAUAUCCACCUCGGCCUCCUUCGUAUCCACCUCGGCCUCCUUCGUAUCCACCUCUGCCUCCUUCGUAUCCGCCACCUCUGCCUCCUUCAUAUCCACUACCUCGGCCUUCAUAAUCGCCACCUCUGCCCCCUCCUUCAUAACCAGCACCUUCAACACAUCAUCAAAUACUUGGAAAGAUCAGAAUACCCAAUAAAACAAGCAUCCAAGUCUCGAAAGACCGAUGCAAGAAUAAUAUAUCAGCUAGACAAUAUGAGUAAAGCAUGCUUCGAACCAAAAGCAAUACUGAGAAAUGAAAAGGGUUUGACAUGAGGUUACCUCGAUAACCCCAGUUUCUGCCUCUUCCACCACCACGUCCCCAGUUUGAAUAACCACCAUUCUCUGAUAUAAGAAGAGUUCAUAAGAAACAGGUCGCACAGGAAAACAAAUAGAAAUUUUCAGAGUGAAGCACUAAUUUGAUGAUUAGGGGACAUAAGUUGUACCUUCAUAACCCCUCUGAUAGUUUCCCUGAUAGUUUCCUUGAUAGUUUUCCGGAAAGUUUCCAUAUCCAUAUCCACCCCUGCCCCAGUUUCGACCUCUUCCCCUCCCUCUCCCUCUGCCACCACGUCCGCGACCGCCGCCAUAUGAAUCUAGAGGAAACGUUAUUACCAGGUUAGGACUUAGGAUCAUGAUAAUACUUACUAGAGAAUUACUUCAACUGCCAUGUUUACCUUCAUAAUAUGGACCUCGGACUUGUCUAUACUGUUGUGGCUGCUGCUGAUAUUGUGGUUUGGAUUGUUCACCAGCUUGUGGAGCUUGAUACCUAAGAGUAGAGAGGAUCACCACAUUAUAAAAACCAUGACUACCACCUAAGGAAAGAAGCAUUGCAUGAAGUAGACGAGAAAUUGAUUAAAAGGGAACUUUCAGAAAUCCAAGUAUGCUUAUUGCUCGCUGAAUAAAUUGCACAUGCUUAAAACAAGAGAGACAAAUGAACUCACCCAGGAGAGUUCUUAUCUAACUCACUAAAUGAUAAGGUAAUUGUGAUCAUGGAAACUUGGCGGGUCUGUUCCACACUGCAAGAAAUACCAGAUGCUUACAUUCAGUUGCAAACACAAUUAACAGAAAGGCACUUAAAAAGGAAAUAUGAAAUCUACAUCAACAACAGGAAAAUAAUAAAACCAUCAAAUACUCACGGUACAAGUCCUUCCUCAAUAGGUUCCCAGACAUCAGUGAUGCUAACUGAGCUUAUGGCAGUGUCUUGAUGCAAGCGGGGAUUUCUUCUCUGUAACAAGAAAUAUAACAGCUAAUCAGCUCGCAGUCCAAGUGCAGGUUUAGUGUGAAGGAAUACUCAAUGGCCAGACAACCUUUAUGCUCUCAGCAAUAGAAACUGUCUUGCUAAUUGCCUGCCCCAUGGCCUUCAAGACAAUCUCCUUUGCAUGUUUGUCCUAGUAAGAUUCCACAUAUACAAGAUCGGUCAAUUCAUAUUCUGCGAGAGAAAACCACAUUAUUCCCAGCACGACUCAUAGCCUCAGCAAAUGCAUCGUACAUAUUACACACUAACGGAUAGCUUAGACCAUUAGCGAUGUCCAAACUCAAAAAGGAAGACAAUCCAAACACGAUCAGCAACCAAAAUGGAAAGUCAUAAUUCAUUCUCUAGAAUAACAAAUUCUUUUGAAAUGAUUCAAUCCUUAGCAUCCAGAUACAUCCGUUCAUCAAAGGGGAAAAAAAAGAACACCGAAUCUCUUAUGAGCAAAAAACUGGUAACUGGACAACGCAAACGAAGCCACAUUCAAUAAUCGAUUCAAGCUAUAAUCAUCGGAAUGCAGCGCAUCCAAACAUCAACUCCAAACCUAACCUAUUACCUAUCUAAAUCAACACGAAGAAGAUAAAUCGUCAUCCAACGCUCGUAACCAAACCAUCGAAAACAAUCAGACGAUUCCAAAACGGGAAUGCGAAGAUACACGAUGGAUGAAGCUACAGUGUAAAUAAGUCAGUUAGUAGGUAGUACCUGGAGAAGGGAAGUGGCGUAGCUGAUGUAGUUUCUGACGGGACCGGAGGAGGUGAUUCGGAUCUCGUUCUCGUUUAUUGGCGACUCCGGCUUCGGCUUCUCGACUCUGGUGUACCUAUCCAUGGCGGAUUCUGUGUGUCUGUAUUUCGCUCGCUUCUGGUGUGGAGGGAAGAAGGGAGAGGUUUAGAACCCCUUAUAAAACCCUAGAAGAAGAAGACUCACUCACUCACUCUCUUACUGCUCUCUCACACACAGAUUAGCUUAAUGCUCUGCUAAUUUACCGUAUUUAAAUAAAUUAAGUUUUUUUUUAAAUUGUUUUGCUGAUUUUUUCAUAAUAAUUAGUUGCGGAAAGUCUGAAACGUCAUGAGCCCAAAAGGCAACUGUUUUACACUCUUUUUGCGCCACAUUUUCAUAACUGAAAUUUGGAACGGCACCAUUUACUAAAAUUAGUUUCUCCGUUGAUUUAAUAAUUUUAAUUUAGUUUCUCGGUUGAUUUAAGGAUUACAAUUUAGACUAUUAGGAGCUCUAAUCGGUUCUUUAAAAAUUAUUUUGUGUCGGUUGGUUUAACUUGUUGUCUUCAUACUAAUAUCAGCCAAGUACAAUAUUUUGCCACCAGAUCGAUAUACAUGGAUGAAACCGUCCAAGGACAAUUGUAUUGGUCGGUGAACUCUACUUUUCGAAUUCGAAAUUUGUAUUCAUCCUUAUUAGAUAAGGCCUUAUAAAAUGUUUGAAAUGAGGGUACAAUUUGAUCCAAUCAUGUGGAAGUGACAAGUGAGUAUAGCUGGUUUUACGAGGGAUACGAUUUUGAGUUUUGAACCUCUCUUUAUCCUUUACACUAGAGAAAUGACAUUCGAAACGAGUGACUAAGAAGCCUAAUUGCCUAGUCAAAAUAUGUACAACUAUGUUUCGGGCUCUCCAAGCAAUACUAAUAUCAGCCAAGUACGAUAUUUAAGUAUAAGAUCUCCUAGCUCUCAACAGUCGUCAUAUGUCUGCGACAUUGCUCGCGCUAUAAUAUGGAAUCGAGUUCGCCUUAACGAUAAAAUUAUGUCGCCCUUGUUAUAAUUGUUCGGACUUGGACGGUAGAAAAUGAAAAAUGUUGCUAGAACCAUAACUUCAAAGGAAUCUCCUGCAACUAGCUAAGUUUUCGAAACAGAAAACACAAGGCUACAAAUGCUUAGCAGCAGAAGAAUUGAGGUUUGAUGAUCUUGCGGAAUACUCUUUCAUAAGUUUGGAGAAGAAGGAAUCCUUUCUUUGCAGCAACAUUUUCGGGCCAUCAUUCUCAGCAACCCUUCCAGUAAAGAAAAAGAAAUCAGAAUGAAGCAAAGAAAGAGAGAUCAACAGUUAGAAAUACUAUAUGAUCUUACCAUCACUAAGCACCAACACGAGAUCGCUAUCGAUAACCGUAUGAAUUCUGUGAGCUAUUGUCACCACCGUCCGAUCCUGAAACUCUUCGCUUAUGAUCUUCUGCAACGCACUGUCUGUUGCUGAAUCCACCGACGCGGUUGCUUCGUCCAGCACAAGAAUUCUGCUCUUCUUCAACAGAGCUCUUCCCAGGCACAACAGUUGUCUUUGCCCCGCACUCCAGUUCUCUCCGUUCUCCGUCACAGUACAGUCCAGCUUCCGUGCAGGCAUUUCUCUAAUGCCUGCAAAAUUAUUCCUCGUGAAAAAUUUAAAAGCCUAGUACGAGAAAGAAAGAUAGCAUAAUGUAUAUAUAUACCUCCCAAAUUUGCGAGUCUGAGUAGUGGCCUAACGGGUCAAAGUUCGCUCUAACUGUGCCUUCAAACAUGGUUGGGUCCUGGGGGAUGAUGCUCAGCCUGGAUCUCAAGUCAUGGAGUCCGAUCCUCGAAAUGUCAACCGCGUCGACAAUUAUGCUCCCUUCUCGCACUUGUACCAUUCUAAACAACGCCUGUGUUAGAGUCGACUUCCCGCUACCUGUCCUCCCAACCACCCCGAUUUUUUUGCUCCCCGGGAAAGUGCAGCUUACGUUCUUCAACACCGAUGGCAAAUGUUCCGCAAUCGAAUCUGCAAGUCUUUGAAACAGAUAGUUCCUAUGUCGGGCCAGUUAGCUGGUGGUGGUCUGCACUCUUCAAUCGCAACGGGUGAUUCUUCGCCUUUUAAUUUCGUGUACUGUAAAACUCUUUUUACAGAAAUCAUCUUGUUCUCAGUCCUGCAUAUAUGCCGUAUAACCCAAGUCUGGAGAACGUUCAGAUUUAUGCCGUAUGUCACUGCCAGUCCUGCAAUACCUGCAAUGUUUGGGGUUUAGGGUUAUAACUGCAAUUAAAGAAAAGUCAUAAAAUAAUCAGUUGCAUUACUAUUGCUACUCACUUGGACUGAUGAUCCCUUCAGGGAGCGUAACGAGCAGAACCAAAAAGAAAGCAAACACGGAAUUGGACAGCAGAUUCAGCCUGAAACACAACCAUUCCAGAGCGGACACGUUGUGGAACCACUGCCUCGAGUAGUUGUCUAUAAGACCGAGAUUAGACACGAUGAACCUUUCCCCUUGAUCGAAGGUGCGGAUCGUGGCUGCACCAACUAGUGAUUCGGAGAAAUGGUCAAAGUAUUUUACUAUGAAAAUUUGAUCAUUUUUAUAAUAAAAUUUUAAAAUUUUAAAAUCGGCUAAUAUUUGGCAUCCACGUUGGAUAUGGCUAAAAAUCAAGUCUCACUAUGAUAAUCUCUGUAAAUAAUGGUAAAAUGAAGUUAAAAAUUAAUUUUACUUCGUAUUAUGUUAGUGUUGAAAACUUUCAAAUUGACUUAUUUUCUGCAUGUAUGUGAUGAGAAACUGCUAGAAAUCUAAACUAAAUUUUUUCUAGUCGAAAAUACAUACAUUUCCACUAACAAUAAAAAUAAAAACCCUUAAAAUAUUUUUUUUAACUUCAUUUGGCUAUUAUUUGAAGGUUUAACAUGGUGAAACCUCAAUUUUUAGUCAUUCCCAACCUACAUUUCAAUAUUAGUUUAUUUGAGAAUUUUAAAUUUCCAUGUCUAAAUUGGACAACUUCCGUGUGUUAUACUAUGAAAAUUUGACCAUUUUCACAAAAAAAAUAUCAAAAUUUUCCAAAUCAUUUUACCAUACAUUUCAAUACGUACAAACAGUAAUAAACACACAUGUGUUGAUACGAUUCAAUCAUAUGUGCAGUUAUGUAUAAUCCUAGUUAUUCUAGUCAUGAUCGAGUCCACUUUAAUGAUGAAAUUAUUGUACCACACCUUUAAGAGCUAUUUUAGAGCCUCAAGGAGGGCCAACGCCUCACAAUACUCCGUCUCAGACGAACGACCCAACAUAAUAAGAGUCAUGUUGGCCUUGUUAUAUGUGAUUGUCGGGUCGAAAUUAAAAGGGAAGAAUAUAUUACUGAUAAAAGGAUCGUUUGUCAAAUAGUAUGACCGCUGUACUCGACAAUUUAUAAUAUUUUUUUGAUAUGAUUUAAUAUUUCAAUAUAUUAAUUACGAACAUUCGAUAAAUCUACCUAGGUUCCAACCAUCCUUUGGUUGGUUGCAUAACAAAUGAACAGAAUGCCUUUAACUCUAAAUUCUAAACAGUACUUGCACAGACUAUUUUCAUAUGAUUCACUGAUUCCCAUCUCUGCGCAUCUUCAUAGCUCCAACACCACAACUGUUAUGAAUGAGUAAAAAUGAGAAUCAGGUGACAGAAAAACUAAAACAAGUAAAGAUGAACUAGGGCAAAGUAACUAGGCUCUCUACUCACAUUCAGAAUCAGUUGUGAUCCAGUUGCCUUUCCUGUCACAACGGCCAGCAUCAGCAGAACAAGAAGAGGAAGAGGAAGAAGAAGAAGCAGCCAUGGAUAGUGGAGACUGAAAUUGCUAGCACAAUAAGCAGGUAAAUUAAUUAGCUUGUGAUUCAGAAUAUGAGGUUUGCACAAGUUCGGCGAAUCUUAUGGACCGAUUGACAACUGCCCGAUUCAAAACGAUGACCUUUCGUUAGAAGAAAACUCUCGCACAAGAUUUGAUUGUUUGAAAGAGUAUACCUUGUGGUGGCUGAGGAACUUGUCCUGUUUGUGAGACUUAGCACCAGCAGCCCAUCUAACCAGCUCCUUCAUCCUGGAAACGCCUCUCGUUUUGUUUUCUUCCCCUUUCACAUUUCUCUGUCGACCGAUCGUCGGAGUACUGUCUCCGACGACGGGUAGAACUUUUUUACCCACAUGAUGACUACCACCAACUAACUCCUCUUCUUUCUUCUGCUGCUUCUUCUUCUUCAUGUACUGCCUCCACCGCUCUGUUCGAUUCAAGCAAUCAUCUCCGCCGACAGUUUUAAGAUCAAGCGUGCUGUAGAAGCAAUCCUUGGCAACAUCUCGUCUGCACAGAAAUGCAAAGGGGUUGCUGACGUAGUAGUUUCUUGAACCACAAGUUUUCUUCUCCUUCUUAGCUCCUCCUCCUCUGCCUCUCCUCUGCCUCCCGCGGUUUCGGAACAAGACUAUCUCCUGCGCUUUACUUUCUGAAAAAACGAAUGAGAAUGAACGAAGAAUAAUUGAUCAGUUGGUUGAUUAUAGUUACUUCUUUUUUUGGAAGUUCAUGAAGAAUAAUUGAGCUUACUUUUGGUGUUACUGUUGGCUUAUAGUCACAGAAUCAAAUGAUUGGUGUUUUCUCUGUGUUUUGUUUGGAUUGGAGAAGGAGACGAAUUGGAGUUUUGGAAGUGGAAUCUAUUAGAGGAACAGUUUCUGGUUUUGGGAAUCUGCAGAAUUUGGCAGGGGGAGGGGCUGUUUAUAAUGCAUCGAACUCGAAACCUCCGAAAUUAGUAAAAUACUUGGUUGGAUGUGAGUUAGAUACAUAUCGAGUAAUUUUUCUCGUUAAUCGACUAAUUUGGGGAGUCGUAGCAGGCAGUUAUUAAAAGACAGUGAACCAAGCGUCCUUCACAUGUACACGACACUAUUCUUGAAGCAAAAUCAAUGGUUUUCAGAGCCAUAUCGAGACAUCAAAUCGGUGAGUCUAAUGGUAUGCGGUUCAACCGCUUAAUUUGGUUUCUAACCGCACCUUGUUGAUGAUCAGGAGCCAAGGGAUUAGUGUACACUUUUAGGCCAAUGUGGCACCUCUCUCAGCCAUACACUUGUCGAACUGUGGUUCAUUGGAUUCUCUUGGCAUGAUUAAUGGCUUUGUUUUAUAUACACAGCGAUGGAACAUCUUCACUGUCAUUUAAAGUAGGUCAGUUCCAGGAAGGAAUGUUCUGUGUAUGAGUCAUUCUCAGAUGUAAAUGCUGCCUGGGAAUUUGUACAGUUCUAACCGCUGAACUCUCUAGACAUGAGUUAAGGCUUCUGUGCUUGCUUGUUUACAGCCAUGGAAGGUUCUUCCUCGGUAAUCUCACAGAUAUUAAACCGCCGAUCUCGUUGAGUUAUAAUUCGGUCCAAUCAGUGUUAAUCUUUCAAUCCAAUGUGUUUCGCUAUAUGUUUUAAAAUUCACUCCAAAGUUGAAAUUUUGUCCAAGAGCUCCGAAACAAAAACAUGAGAGUCUGUUCAUAUCACAUAGAUAAGACCUUAUUUGUCGAGAAUAAGUUCCAACAAUGUCAAACAAAUUCCAACUAACAAUCAUCAAAACCUUAGGUAUAAUUAGCGUCAAAUUUAACAUAGUUGGAACCUGUUCUCAAUAUCGACACCCCAACUUACUAGGUGAGUAUUGCAGGACGUUGUUCCUUCUUUCAAGCAAACAUACAUUUAUUACAUGGUUUUCGUGUUUGUGGAUGAAAUAGACCUAACAGGAUCUGACUCAGUACUGCAGUUUCCUACCAAGAGUUGCAUCAUUCCAUUAAAUACAGCACCAGUGGGGUCAUAAGUAUAAUUUAUACCUUCCACACUGUUUAGCUCACAGAUCAUUACCGUGGCCAAUUUCUGAUCGUCUCCUUGAUUAUGUGCUUCAGAAAAGAACAAAUCUAGAUCUGCAAAUUGCAGAAGCAAGAUCCAAACUUGGUCCGAACCCAUUUCGGUUUGAACAGAGUAACAACGGUUGCAUUACAAUAAACAUUGAGAAUUAUAAAUUAAUCAAUCCAUAAACUAUACAAUGCAAUGUCAAUCAUCGAAAUCGUCAGGCAUCGGGAUGAUGCCAAUCUUUAUGGAAAAAGAUUCGAACCACUAAGGUGAGAAGCGAGAAUGGAAUGACCAAGGUGACCGAUGUUCCGCUCUGAUCCUUGGCCAGCACAGUUUGUCCUGCCCCAUUUUUACAAAGCAGUUUUCUGCAGGGUUUUGCUGGAACGUUAAAGAUUAUAAUUCGAGCAGAUAACAAAAGUUAUCAUCAAAUGUAAUUUACCAGGGAGGAUAUAUACUCUUUUCUUUCUUGCUUCUUAAGGUUGAUCAGCAGACCUUGUCCGAGAUAAACGCCUACGCCGUCUCGGUACCGGAGAUGCAUCUUCUUCACCGGCAUCGCUCAAUAUACGCAAGUCACCAUCAUCUGCAUCGUCAUCAUCUUCAUCCUGCAGACCCAACAGAUUCUCACCCCAUAGGAAUCUCCGCUCCGGUGGUUGACCUUGACCAGCUCCAGCUGAAGACCUGCGAUGCCUAGUCCAAGCCGCCCUCGAACGAGCCCUCUGAUCGCCACCAUCCACCGACCCCAUCAUCUGAAACAGAAAGAAAGUAGUCCACCACGGCUGAUUAACAUCUCCUCGAUCCCCCCUUUCAGCUCCAUUCUCGAUCACGUAAUCUCCAACGACAACAGCACCGGGAAUGGCCGAACGAACCGCACUGACUAUAUCGCCAUACUCCCUCCUUCGUUCGAUCGACCUCCAAGCUCGUUCCCGGGAUGGAUCGAUGUCCGAUGGCCGAGUUGUCGGGUGGAUCCUCCUCGCGUGCCUACGAAGCUCCUGGUAGUUGCCGGAGUACGAACAUGAUUCUCUAGAGCAGCUUCGCCUCUUCGAGUUUAGAUAGUUUCUCGCCUCCUCUACAACUUCCCAUCCUAAUACAGCUCCCCGGCACAGCGGACAAAUCAGACUGAAUUCGGAUUCCGUCGAUUCAUUGUUCAAGCUUUGACCUUCAUUGACAUCAAUGGCAUUGGUUCCCAAAGUUAAGCUAGUAUCAGAAGUAGAAGCGUUGACGGUUAAAGAAGUGGGAAAAGUUGCUGCAUUCCUAGGAAUCUCCUGUAACUUCUUAAAUCUAUCCAAGCAAUUCGAAUGCCUAUAACUGGUAUCACAAAUGUAAGAAUUGCAGCCCUUGUCAUGGGAGCUGCAUAGGAGGAGGACAGCAUUAUGUGGAUAGUCCAUACAAAUGGGACAUGAAACCUCUUCCAGUUCUUUGUGCAGGGCAUGCAUAUCAGAAUCAGAAUACAGCCUUCUUUUCACACCAGUCAUCUUCAAUGCACUGUAAUAAUUUUCUCAGCACAUGAACUAUUAGAAUGGACCACUAUCAACAAAGCAUCAAACAGUUUUCUUAAUCAAGAACAGAACUCAGGUAGCAAGUACAUCAGGCAGCAAAAACAGUACUUUCAUACCGCCUCAGUAUGCAAGUUUUACCAGAUAAUAUAAACAGUUGUUCAAUUUACAGGUGUAUAUGAACAAGCUACAAUCAAGAAGGCUUUCAGAAAGAAUGGAUGUACAACACAGCCUUCCACAUUUGAUGCAUACUAGUUUCAUAUGCACUACAUGGCUGGGAUAUAAAAGAAUGAAGAUCAUAAUACCGAUAGAGAUCGGAAAAUAUUUGGUUGAACUUUUUACUCCUCUUCAAUCAUAAGGAGUCGAACCUCCAAGCAUCGAAGAAUUUAAGCCAGUUGUACCAUCAGUAACAUUAACACUUUGUUUUACAUCCAAUAGGGAAUCUAAUUCUGCCAUGAACUAACUAUUUCAAAAACUAAAGGGAAGAUUAAAAAAUUAUUUGCAGAAAGCUACUAGCAAAUUGUGAACAGACCCAUGUGACCUCAUUACAACAAGCAGCAAAACACAAUCUGCUGCAGAAUUCUAACAUGUUGACAGGUAAAAAGUUAAACCUUCGGUCAGUUGUUGAAACUAACUGCAUAUGUACUUACCACAAGCAGGAAGCCUAAUCGAUUUCCACUUGUGAUGCUUCGAAACGUCUACUUGUAUAAUCAACAGAAACUACGAAUCUCUUUAACUGAAUCUACAACGACAACCACAAUCAACUUCUUCAAGAGGAUAGGAGAAGUUAACCAGCAGCCCCUUUAGUCUUACAACUUCAAAGAGUAGAGCUUUCAGUUAACAAUGCACAGUUCCCACAAAAUUUUUUAACCAACCAAGAAAAAACGAUCUGCAACAAUAGCCACAAAGAAAACAAACAUCCAUGUGAGUAAAGAUCCUCAUCAGAUGCUUCCCCGUAUCAUUAGAGGAUCUAACAUAUUUAAGGAUUGAAAAGCCACACAAUCAACUGGAGAUCAUGCUUAAAGCCAUGUACUAAUUGUCCAGAUCAUCACCAAAAUGAUGGAUCCUUAUACACCAUCAAGAUCUUAAUAUCAAUAACAUAAUCUGUUUACCAUCAAUGCAAAUCCAUAGAAACAGCUAAAAAUAUCACAUAAACCCCAAAUCCAACCGACCCCUCUGAUUCAAACCCUAACCCUAAUCCAAAUUGAACCUAGUACCAAACCCCUGAGAAACAUUAGAAACUGAAAUUGAAAUCAACAGGCAUCUAAUUGAGGAACAAAAAGGUCAGGAUCGGGGAUCAAUUACAGGAAAUCCCUUAACAACAACCAAUUGAUUGAGAUUAUUAUGUGCAACUAUGGCGAUUGAAAGGCGGAGGAAUUACAGAAAACGGGGAAUCGGAUUCGUCCACUUUCUGAUUGAUCUGCAAUAGGGAAGAUAUAGCGUGAAAAGGGUAUAUCAUGGAAUGCGUCGAAAACCGAAAUUGAGAAGAAGAAAUGGUGGGUGAAGGGUGCAAGUUCGUGGAAGAAGUAACAUAAUUUUAUAGAAGAAGACAAUUUAGUUUUUGCUUUUUUUUUCUGUUUAAUUUCUUUGGAUUGAUUUUUAAUAAUUUUUUUUAAAGUAUUUAAUUAAGCAUUUGUUUUUAAGCCGCCAUGAAUUAGUAAUAAUAAUGUAUCCUUUGAAAAGAACAAUUUCUGAAACAUAAUGAAUUAUGAUCCAUUUUUAAUUCUUAUUCCGGGUUUCAGACACACUAAAUAUACAGUACAAUAUAUGUAUUCCGCCUUUUUGCAAUCAUGAAACUAUCCAUUAGUGACACACAUGACUCUUAUAUAUUUUUCAAAAGUGUUAUCAUUAAUCCUCAUUCAUUAGAUUGCUAAUUAGACUUUAUACGUACUUACUUUUUUUUUCCUCCGAAAAAAGCUACCUCAUAGUUGGUGGCUCUCUAAUGUGAUGGGAUGUGAUGUGAAGUCAAUUAAUUGUAUUUUGUAGUUUGGUAAACACCCAAAUAAAUACUUUGGAUUUCCAACUAUAUCAACAAUAAUUUAAUUUCCUCUAAACAUCACAGUUAAACAUUAAUUACCACAAUCCCUGAAGUCUUUCUAUAUAUUUUCUAAAUUGGGCUGCUAGCCUCCUUGGGCCCAAUUAAAUAAAGUCGGACAAUGAAGAGUUACAAAACAAAGCCCAAUAAAAAUCACAAGAUUCCCCGCCACGUUCACUCAAAACUACGUCGAAUCAUUGUAAGAUGAGUCCACCAAAUCAAAGCCGACUCCGUUCUGCAACUCCUCCUCUGCCGCGCUUCGGAUUCUUCUUCUUCUUCUUCUUCUUCUUCAGCUUGUUGCUUGCUUUGCUCCCUGUUGGAUCGCCAUGGCUAACAACCCUUCGCAGCUGCUUCCAUCAGGUCUUGUUCGCUUCCUAUUUGGUUUCUUAAUGGUGUACUUUCUUUCAUUAUGAACUAACCUUUUUUUCCCUUUUGGGUGGCGCAGAGCUGAUUGAUAGGUGCAUAGGUUCGAAGAUAUGGGUGAUAAUGAAAGGAGACAAAGAGCUUGUGGGAACUCUUAGGGGAUUCGACGUCUACGUCAACAUGGUCCUCGAAGACGUCACUGAAUAGUGAGUCAAUUUCCCGCCUCCUGCUUCCUCCUUGCCAGAAUUAGGGUUUAAGAGUUGGGAUUAGGGUUUUUCUUCAGCUGUUCGUGAUUAUGUUUUCGAAUUGAGUUUGUCAAACAGUGCUUUUUCCUUUGGUAAAAUCGGCCUUGUCCAUUAUUCAUUAGAGCAUAAGUUCAGUUUUCGGAAUUAUGUACUUUGUUAUUUGGUUAUGGAUGAUGGAGUAGGCAUCUAGAGUUUGAGAUGACGAUUUCAUCAUUGAUCUUAAAGAUGGAGUAAUUUGCUCUGGAUAACACGGCAUGAUUAGAUUUAUGUAUCGGAUGCCACUAUAUGAAUUUAUAUGUAUGAAUCUGUUCAUGUUUAACCUCUGCUUUCAUUUCACAUUGUGGCUCGGGUUUUGUGGUUUUCAUGAUUGGUAAUACCACACUGUUGACGUAAACUACUUGCGCAAACUUGUAAAUCCACCUUUUUACUAGCUAUUCGUCUGUGAUGGAGAAACUAAGAGUGCUUGCUAAGGCUUUUUUGACAGUUGGUUUGCGUAUUUGCUUUUAAUGUGUCCUUGCUUUCAUUCAGUGAAAUCACUGCUGAAGGUCGGAGGAUAACGAAGCUUGACCAGAUAUUGCUCAAUGGAAACAACAUCGCCAUUGUAAGUUAUACCAUGUGUUUUCUCCUCUGCAGAUAGUCUUCAUGGUAUUCCUGUCAUUGAAAAGCUUAUCUGAUGAUGAGUCGAUCAUGCCAUUUACCGAAUUUGCAGAAGCUUUUGCAUUCUGCAUCUUCCCCCCUUAAUUUAGAAAUUUCAAUAAUGAAAAGCUAGGUUAAGUUUAGUUGACAUGCAUACAUAACCUUUCUGGACUAUUGGUAAUAUGAUGUUCAGAUGAAUUUAAGCCAAUUGCACGGCAUUGCUCCAAUCUACAUGAACACACACGGUAUCCCAAAAAUCCCCAUAUCUUAUUGUAACACAACUUUAACGAAUUUGGCAUUGUUUCAAGUGCUUGUUUAGCUGUUUAGUCUAACGUUGGGUUAUGAAGCUUCAAACAUAUGAUUAAACGGUGAAUUGUUCUGAAAUUGCAGUUGGUUCCUGGUGGUUCUCCUGAUCCAGAAUGAGAGCUUCAGUCGGGCCUUUCUCUGUUGUUUGGUUCUUGUGAUCUGACUGAGGGCAGAGAAGCUCUUCUGGGUUUUUAUUGAGAAAGUUGAGCAAAGUUCACUGUGGCCCUCCUUCCCCCGCCAACGUACUCUCUAUCUUUGUAGCAGUUUUUUUAAUUCUCUUGUGGUUGUUCGUAUCAAGUCGGAAUAUGGGUACCAACUUGUUGAUUGUAUUUGAACUGGGCUAUUAACUAUCUUAGCCGUGAGCAAAUUUGUCAAGGGCAAUGAAGGUUUGAUGUGAAAUGGAACGCGUCUUCGAACUCCGCACACUAAUGGUUUGAUGCACCUUUUCGAGCACACUAGCUAGAUCUAUUUUAUGUUAAUUGCAAAAUCCGAAAAAUUUGUACCAACUUGGAGCAUUAGUAGUAGGCACGUAAUCGAAGCAUCCUCGGCCGACGUUUGGUAUACACGUACAUACCGAGGGAAUGCUCAUUAUAUGUUCUAUGACAUUUUGUAUUCAGCAGCAGAGGAAAUCAGUAUAUAUAUUCUGUUACUUUAGCGCGGUCAUUGCAUCUUUAGUGCUGCGGAUGACUGGGCAGUUCUCAUGAGCUUUUGGGCGUGGUUGCCAAGAAGCCUCUGGACAACGAGAUUGUAGUUGGGUCGUCGAUAGCUUUAGACGAAUAUGUGGUGACGAAUCAUUCAUCGUGUGUUAACCUGGGUCGUGGCCCUAUCGAGACUAUUAAGACUUAUCUAUCAUAAGAUGGUGGAUGAAACAUUCUUAAUGUAGAGUUAUUGUCAGGAUAUGAAUCUUUUCGGUGCCCAAAAGACAUGGCUCAGUCACUCCUUGUGGACUUCUUCGUUAUAAAAAUGUCAGAAGGGUGAUAAUUGUAAAAACAAAAGACUACAUGGACUAGAAAGGAUAUUUAUUCCGCUAGUUGGUUCGAAUCGAAUCUUAAGUCCUUAACAGAAGUUUCUACAUAAGAAAAAGAAAAAUUGCGGGAGGAGAGUGGGAAUUUGGCGGAGGCGACCGGUGCCGGCGACAUUAGAUUAUUCCCGGCGAACGAACCAAUUCUGCAAAGCCACAGCUAAAUCAGAUCAAAGCGUAAUUCAAGGGCGGUGGAGAAUGAGCUAUCUACUGCCGAAUCUAACCAAGAAGAAGGAGAUCGACUCAAUAAUCAGGGACACCAUUGACAAGGUCCUCGUCCUCCGGUUCGGCCGCGCUUCCGACGCCACCUGUCUCCAGCUCGACGAGAUCGUACGUCUUCUUCGUCUUCUUUCCAUAGUCUCUCUCUCUUUCUCUGUACAUUUUCAGCUGAGGAAUCUAUGUUUCCCCCCUGCAGCUGUCGAAAUCAGCGAGGGAGGUCUUCAAGUUCGCGACAGUGGCAGUCGUGGACAUGGAUUCCGACGAUGUGCAGGUCUACGUCAAGUACUUCGACAUCACUCUGGUUCCUUCCACUGUAUUCUUCUUCAACGCUCACCAUAUGAAGAUGGAUUCCGGGUAUCUCCUCCCGAUUGUUCUCUUGUUCUUAUCAGUUUCUCGUUGAAGUUGAGUGUGAUUUUGUUGUUGGUUAAUUUGCUUGUGAUUUUUCUAUGAUUCAAUCAGGACUGCUGAUCAUACCAAAUGGAUUGGUGCAUUUCACACCAAGCAGGACUUCAUUGACGUCGUUGAGGUACUGGCCAUUCUUCUUCUUCUUCUUCCCAUUUAUGUCUUUUGAAUUUUUCCAGAAUCUCCAUAGUUAUGCUGUUAGCUAGUUAGUUGGAUCAAACAACUCGAUGAAUAGGGAGUCGAUUGGAAGUGAAAUCGAGGAUUUAGAUUAACUUAAACACCAUAAAGUUAUGCCAAUUCUGCAUAAUCCUAAAACUAUACUAUGUUCAUGCUUUUUCUCUGCGACUAAUGCGGAUUACAGGAAAGGUAGCUUCAAAUUUUCGAAGUAUGGCCAUUUCAUCAUAGUUUCUGAUCAUAUUCAGAGGAGACAACUAGUUGUUAGAACUAAGAACAUCACUCUGCACUAAACAUUUGCAGUUCUGGUGAAACCUUGUUAGACAAACUAUUCCGCCUGGUCAAUUCUCAAGCUGCUAAGGGCUAUCAUCGCAUACUGUACACAGUUGAGCUGUUCGAUAUAGUUAGCGGGAUCGUAAACUGGAUGAUUGUUUAAAUAACUUGUUGAUAUUAAGGCUGACAAUGGUGAAUAACUGGGGUUCAGCUGACCUGUGCGUGGGUUUGAUCGCACACUUGCUCAUUUGUACUGCCUUACUACUAUUUUGUUGCAGGCCAUAUUCAGAGGAGCCAUGAAAGGCAAGCUGAUAGUGAGUUGCCCAUUGCCCCCUGAUCGAAUACCCAAGUAUCAGCUGUUUUACAAAGAAGUUUAGAGUUUGGCUUCGUUCGACUGUAUUCGUUUCUGGACUCAUUUAUGCAGCUGUACCCUAACAGAUUAUCAGUCUGCAUCCCCUAAGCUAGUUUAUGUAUGGAGAGAAACAGUUCUGAACACUUUGUAAAUAUACUUUCUAUUUCUUAUGAAGUUUUCCUUCGUAUACAUAUGAAAUAAAAUUCUGAACAAGUAGAACACGAAACAAGAACGUUUCAUUCAUUUAUUGCUAAUGGUUCAUACUCGACUGCGCGAAUAAGUGGUAUAUUGUGUUCACAAUCGUAGAUGUCCAUUUCAUGGCUACGAAACAACAACAGAACUACAAGAUCUAGCGAGCAUCCUUUGAUAGGAGGGUGCCACUGGUUCCGACAGAUCGGGCAUUACAGAGCUCGUCGACACAGUCUCCUCGUUCGAAAACAGCUGCCGCCCCCAUUCCUGUGCCUGCAGUUGGUGCAAAUUGUCAGUUCAAGCAAUUGCAAGAUGCGUGACAUGGGUUUUGGAAGAUGAGAAAACAAAUUUGAGACUGGUACCGUACCGAUGCACAUUGAGAUGACUCCGAAACGAGAGUCUCUUCCACGGCGCUUCAUCUCGUGCAAAAGAGUGGCGACGCAGCGAGCACCUGUAGCGCCCAAAGGGUGGCCGAGAGCCAUUGCUCCACCGUUAACAUUGACCUUGGCUGGGUCAAGCUCUAGCUUCUUACGGCAGUAGACGAACUGGGAUGCAAAUGCCUGAAACAGAAGAACAAGAGAUUGUUAAGAUCAUGCACUUCGAUAACCCUCACACUAAACUUCAAACCCUUUACCUCGUUAAUUUCGAAGAGGUCAAUAUCUUGAAGUUCCAAUCCAGCAGCUUUCACUGCUGCUGGAAUCGCAACAGCCGGACCUAUCCCCAUCACAGCAGGAUCCACUCCAACAGCAGCAAAACUCCUGAACAGUUAACAAAUCCACAUUGCUUUAAGGUUUAAGCCCGAGUUUGAACUGGUAAAUUCAAGAAACUCAAUCAAACUAGCAUUGCAGAAAGUUAUGCACCUGAGCACACCAAGAAUGGGAAGGCCCUUCUGGAUGGCCAAGCUUCUCUUCAUUAGGAGGACUGCUCCAGCACCAUCACUCACUUGGCUAGCAGUACCUAACAUCAAGGUAGCAAUUAACUAUUAAUCCACGAUGCCUAGUCGAUUUUGACGAUGACAAUUUUCGAUGGGGCGUCAAAUAAUUACCUGCAGUUGUAGAGCCAUCCUUUUUGAAUGCAGGUUUCAGCUUGGCAAGGCCUUCAAGGUUUGUGUUUGGUCGGAUCCCGUCAUCAACAGAGAUAGUCACGGGAGUUUCAUUCCCAGUUUUUGGGUCAAUGACCUUUACACAACCAUCACAAAUAAAAUUAAGGCAAUAAACUAACGGAAGAAUAUGAAAAGAAAUACAACAAUUUUCUAGUUUACCUUGGUAGAAACUGGGAUAAUCUCAUCUUUAAAUUUACCAGCGGCUGUUGCGGCAGCAGCCUUCCUAUGAGAGUCGACCUACACAUAAAAUGUUAAUUGCACGAAGAACAUUCUAAAUUAUGCUUCCAUAGACGAAUCAUAGAAAAGAAAUUGCUUUAUUUUACUCACAGCAGCUUGAUCUUGCUCUUGUCUUGUUACCCCAUACCGCUGGGCAAUGUUUUCGGAAGUAAUGCCCAUAGGAAGAAGGCAAUCUCGGGCUUGAACAAAGCUCUCAACCUGUUAAGAUUGAGUCCCCUUUAAAAACUAACAAAUAAGAGAAGGUUUACAAUCAUUGAUUCUUCAAACUAGCUGUAGGCAUUAUAUACCCUGGGAUUAGCUUUCUGAACUCCUCUGAUAUUGUCAAUUGUCAUGCACUCUAGACCAGCUCCAAUUCCUGUUUGGAAGCACAGAAAUUAGAAGUUAAGUACUUGAGAAAACCACAGGUUUGGGUCUACAUAAGAAUAGAAGUUCGAAAUUCUAACUACUGACACUUACCAAUGUCAUAAAAUCCUGCUUUGAUUGAAGCAGCAACAUCAGCAACGGCCUGCAGCCCAGAAGAACACUGCCUGUUGACUGUUCUAACAGGCACAGUUUCUGGAAUGACAAAAUGUAGAGGAAUCAGUUUCAUAACUUCCAACAUGCUUCUAAUAACUCUAUGACUGGAUCUCAAAGUCCAGUGAUGAGAGAUCCCAAAGAGACAGUUCAAAGAUCUAGUAAACUUCAGUAAAGAACUAAUUUUUGCUUCAACAAGAAGUGAAACUCGGACCAACCAUGGAUAAAUUAACAAAGCUAGAAUUACCAGGGAAACCAGCAUAGAAAGCUGCCAUUCUGCACUCAGUUGCUCUCUGAGAGCCAGGAGCUAGAACUGUACCCACCACUAUAUCUCCCACUUCACUUGGAUUCACAUUCGUUUUCUCUACCACUGCCUGCAAGGAUCUUACAUAAGGCUAUGACAAUAAAAAGCAAAAUGAAAGCAGACUGAUAAAUCCCAUUUUCUGAGCAAACCUUAAGAACAGGGGCGAGUAAAUCAUCAGGAAGCGUAUCCUUGAACCCACCGCGCCUGGAUUUGCACAAGGCAGUUCGAUACGCACUGCAAAGUCAACAAACUAGGUUCAGGCAUUUCCACAAACACUUAAUACGCAAGAACAUAAAACAACAGAAAAAAGGUACUGACGCCACAAUCACGAUGUCGUCGCCAAAUGAUGCAGCUCCACCGGCGCAAGCUGAAGCCUUCGGUAAGCAAUUAAGCGACCCAGUUGCGAAACAGAAGAUAAAUUAGACAGUGUAAAAUUUAGCGGGAUCCAAGGAUUUAGGAGGAAAGAAUUCUCAUUUCUCACGGAGAGGAAGGGUGAUUCAUGAUGGGAUUGAGUCCGGGAGCUGGGUUGAAGGUGAGCUAGCAGAACUUUCUGCCGAUUGAUCGCCUUGUCCAUUUCUGCGCUGUUCGACGACGCGGGAGAGAGAGUUUACUUCUUUGGUAUUGAAGUUUGCGAGAGGAGGAGACGGGAACUAUCCUUGUAUAAAUGGAGAGGGCCGACUGACUGACUGACUGAUUGGAUUUCGGAGGAGAAGAAUCGUUUUCAGAAGAAGAGAAGGAAGGUGGACUGAUCUUUCAGUGGAAAUUUCGGAGCCAACAAUGAGCACAGAGCAGGCACGUUUCGAACACGUAACGGUUGUCGUUCUUCUUGUCCUGAUCUACUUUUAGGCCAAUGGCUAAUUACGGGUGGAUUUCCGGUUAUGAUUGACAAAUAAAUUCGAUUAAUUGGUCGAUUAAUUGAUUAAUCGGAUGACUUUGGUUGGUCAAUCAAUCAAUUUAUAAGAUGAUCGCUUUCGGAUUUGGAGCAACCAAAAUAAACUCUCAUAUUUACACAUAUUCUAACCAAAACUGACCUACUUCGAUAAUUAGCAGUUAAUUACUUAAUUAUUCCUAUAUCGGUCUCGAUUAGUAAAAUAUUUUUAAUUUUUUAUAUAAUCCUAAUUAGCCAAUCGUAUGUGAUCGGUUAUUAACUGCUUAAACGACUCCCAUCAGUAUGGCUAAUGUUAUGUAUUGGACUAUGAUUUGCACACUUUUCCAAAUUGUAUGAGGAGCGAAGUGGGUGAGUUUAAUGACAUGUGUUCAAUAGAUCAAAAUCGCUUUGUACGUAAAUCAUAUCUAACUGAAUCAUAAUUAUAUUGAAAUUAUAUCAAACUGUUUUGACGGAGUUUCUCAUGUCUAGACCGUCUAUACCGGUUCAAUGGAUCAUAUAGUUUGACACCACCAGUUCAACCUACUCUCUGAUCCUGAAAACCAUGGUUACUCCAUGGAUAUAUUUAUAUUGUGUCGUUAAGGUUUCUGAUAACACAAAUUAUAACCUAAUAUCAGGUUGUCGAUAACGUGAGCAGGCUGAACGAACACAACUUGGACACAAUAGGAAGAACAAAACUAUUAACAGACAGCAGCGCCAUGGUAGAAACACAAGAGGAUCCCCAACCGAAAAAAAAACUCAAUUACAGACCGAGAUCAUGGUAACAAAUUACUCGAUUUGGAGAAGAAAGCAGAUCAAAUCUUGUUAGUUUUCUGCCUGUCCAAAGUAUCUGCCACAAACAGUUGCCAAAACAUUCAACAUCACAACCUCAUCAUCCAACUCCGACUUCCCUGCUCGUAGGCUCGCACAUUUCCUCAGCAGACUCCGAAUCGCAGCACUCGUAUCAGCCAGCAAUGGAGUAUCAACCGCUGCACACAGAGCAAACAGCCACAUGCACUCACCCUUCGAUAACUUACUCGCCUUUUCCGCCAAGCUUAUCCGUUUCUUCAAUGACGAAACUCGAGAAACAGAAUCCAUCGCUCGCACAGCCGAUGACGUUGGGAGAAUCAACAAACUCUCAUCGACCUCGGCUUUAGUUGUUUGAUCAUUAGGAUACUCUUCAUCUCUUGCCAACGACAGUCUUAGUUGCGAAAAAUCUACGAGAAAUGCAUCUUCCCAAGCUUUUGAAGGCAGUAGAUGGUCUGGACACUUGGGAAUAUCAGGAAUCUGAGGCAUAUACACGCUUUGCUCUUUACUGAUCGUAUGCUUGUCGAUUUUUGCCACCUUCACUUUCGGGAUUUGGGCAGCUUCCCACCUGACUCGUCUAAGAUACUCUAAUCCAUCUUCUGGAGGCCCCGACUCGAAAUCCGGUUCUCCUUCUACAUAAAAAGCUGGUCUUUGAAUGCUAGCAUAAUCAUCAUCAUCAUCACUAUCAUCUUCCUCCACGACCAAUUUGGGAUCAGAGUUGCUAUGCUUGGUGUUUGAGCAUGACAAAUCCUCAUACUCCUUCACAACCGCAGCUUCUAACCCGUUGUAUACACGUGUCCAGAAGUUCCUCUGUUCCACAAUGUUCGAAAACCUCAUGGCCUCCAUCUCUAUCCUCGAGUACUUCGGGGAACCGUCGAUUGGACAUGAACUGUUGUUAAUAGCCUGAUUCGUUCUUGUUUGAUCUUUCUCCAAACCCUUGAGCAAAUCCUUUCCCUUCCUUCUUCGCCUUCUGAUCUUCUUUUGAUUCUCACAGACGACUAUCUCUGCUGGUUCAUUAGAUUCAGCGAAUCCAUCGGAACUGCCAUCAUCAACAUCUUCGAAGAAGCUCUUUCCUUUAAAGAUGGCUCCACCUUCGAGGCUGGCCAACAAUUGCUUCUUCUUAUCCUCCAACAAGGUUUCUGAAUCCAUGAAUUCGAGGCAGAGAUUGGGAAGAAACUAGAGAGGACUCAGAUUUUACUAUGGGGAAUUCAAACAAUCAGAACAAUAUUGGAGUUGCCCAAACAAUAAUCAUUAAUCCGACCUAGCUAAUCGUAUAACCUGGAGCAUCCAACAAUGGAUUGCGUCAUUAUCCUUUGAAUCUCGGUGAUCCCCAUGGCGGCAGAAAUCUUCAGUGUUCUUUCCUAGAUAGGGUUUAAUGGAGGGAGUGUGAGGGGUUUUCUUCGUUUACUGAAAACCCUCUUCACUGUAUCAGUAAAGUCCCGUCCAAGUAAAAAUUUGAAGCUCGGUCAAAGCCAAUUCGGAGAGAAAAUGGCGACGCCACCACCCAAUUUCGAAGGAAACCCGAUGCCGCCGCCGCCUCCACAGCCGCCGGGAACGGACAUGACGGGGAUGUGUUUCAGAGACCAGCUAUGGCUCAACUCUUACCCUCUGGAUCGUAACCUAAUCUUCGAUUACUUCGCCCUGUCGCCAUUCUACGACUGGAAUUGCAACAACGAGCAGCUCCGGAUGCGCGCAAUCCACCCUCUCGAUCUCUCCCACCUCUCGUGAGUCUCUCAACCUUUUCCCCCUCAUUCUCAAACUUCGAUUCGUCUGGUUUUUUGGAGGCGAUGAGAAUUGAGAAAUUUUGUUCCCUUUUCCAGUAAGAUGACGGGAUUCGAGUACAUGUUGAGCGAAGUGAUGGAGCCUCAUCUGUUCGUGAUGAGGAAGCAGAGGAGGGAUAGCCCUGAGAAAGUAAUUCCAAUGCUGACUUAUUACGUCUUGGAUGGCUCCAUUUACCAGGCGCCUCAGCUCUGCAAUGUCUUCGCUUCUCGAGUUGUAAGCUCUCUUUAACCUUUUUUUUCCGGUUCAUGAUUUCGUUCAGACUGCAUUCGAAUUUUCGGUUGACUUCGGUUGUCAAGGAACCUUUGGCCUGAUUACAGUGCGGAUUGGCUGGUCAUGGUUUUUGCAGGGGCGAGCAUUGUAUUAUAUAUCGAAAGCUUUUACUACGGCUGCUUCAAAGUUGGAGAAGAUCGGAUAUGGUAUUGACAUUCCUCUUAUUUGAUUUAGAUUACUCUGUGUCAUCUGUUGUUGUGCUUGUAUGGCUAGUUAGAAGAGUGCGUCUAUACUUCAAACUGGAAGAGUAGUGUACUCUCGGGUUUAUUGGUGUAGCUAGCUAGCUCUGAUUAAUGAGUGAAUGCCAGAAUGCAAGGUCUUCUCUGGUGCACUGACUGAGAUCUUAGGAAAUCAUAUGUUGAGCUUACUGUGGAGUUUUUAUUACCAAGCAAGAAUGGCAUCGGUCAGGGAAAUAUCUUUUGCUUGGUUGGAUUGACUGCUUGGUGUAAUGUAUCAGUAGGGAUUGGAUUCUUUUGGUGCUCAAUGGAGUUAUCCUCGAAGCAAGUAAUAGGAACUCUAAAUUCUUAUUUGCUUCCUUAGUUAGUACAACUAAGUUCGAUUUCUGAGCAGUUUGAUGGGUACGAUUUCGAUGGAAUGUUUUCUUGUGCUCGUGUUAUGUUCAGAUGAUCUGUUCUUUCUUCUGUUAGUUUGCAUUUACUUCCCACUGUACGAAAAAUGAUUGACUAUGAGAUCAUUUCCUGAUGAUCACAUCUCUCCGCGCAUAAUAUUCACCUAUGUUGCUAUUUGUAACAUUAUUUUUCCUGCAGUUGAAGCUGAAGGCGAGGGUGCAGCACCUUCGGAGCCAAAGGCUACUAAAGAUGUAAUCAACUUCAAGGAAGUUAAGAGAAUCGAUCAUAUCCUCGCCUCCUUACAACGCAAGGUAAACUUCCACUUACACAUGAUUGGUCCAUCUGCUUGUCUGUAAACAAACUGGUAGUCAUCAGAGAGCAAUAGAAAGAGAAAUAUGUGCCAGAUUCUUACUAUAACCAGCAUAACUCAUCAUUAGGUUCCAAUCCUCACCGCUAUAUUUUGUCGGUGUUCUGCUCUAAUGUUGCUGCAGUUACCUCCUGCUCCACCGCCGCCACCAUUCCCUGAAGGGUACGUACCCCCUGCAACGAGCGAAACAGAGAAAGCAGGCGAGGGUCAACAACAAGGAGGAGAGACACAACAGCCCCCUCCAGUAGAUCCAAUUAUUGAUCAAGGUCCAGCUAAGAGAAUGAAAUUCUGACAGAACAACAUGCCAGGAAGAUUCCGUCCUUUUUUUAUGCGUCCCUUGUGCCGCAAGGAACCAUAAUCCCACAGACGAGAAAGAAUCUGAGUUGGAGGUCAUUUGCUUGCCUCGCUCUGUUACUUAGAUGUUUAACCUUGGGAUUAUUGGAUCCUAUAUAUCAAGCUGAGGCCUCCUCCUAAACUCCUGCUAAUCGUUGAUUAUUAUGUAGCUAAAGGACUUAUGAUUCGUAUUUUCUUUUGUAUAUGACAAGAAGAACUGCAAAAUUUAGCCUUCACCAUGUGCAAGUAGAAAGUUUUGAAGACGUGUAUUUUUGACCUGGACUAGCAAAUCAUUGCACCUGUACCGAGUAGAUUUGGUUUGUUUGUUUAAUAUGGGCGUUUAUUUUCGAUAUUAGCAGCCAAUUUCAUACCAACGCAAGACAUGCACAUACAUACUGAUAUCUAUGCCAUGUUUAUUUUCCAUCUUUCAUUUUGUAUUUGAUCGAAAGAAAAUAAAAUGUAUGUAGAACAAUUGAUUUAGCUCUUUUAAUGAAAUCAUAUAAAACUCACUUUAAAUAUUUUUUUAAUAACUUCAGUUCCUGAGAUGUAAUGGUUGAUGAAUUUAUAAUAAUUUAAACCGCUAAGUUGGCCUGAAAAAAAAAUUAUAUAGUAGUUUAAAAAUAUUAUAUUUAACCUUAUUCGCAUGUUUAAAGGCCUUUUGAGUUUAGUAUCAAUUUUGUUAGGAAAAAAAAGAUUAAAGUUGUUCAUGAAUUAACGUGACGAUAAAUUGUCCGUACAUCAUUGUAUUUGAAAAAUGUAUCCUUACUUGACUUAUUAAAGCUCUUCAAACAUCAUACCUAUUGGCACUCCAUUUGAUUUCACUAUGCUUGAUUUGAAAGAAAAAAAAAUAUUUAACCAUUAAAUAUGUAGUUUUUAAUUUAGUUUCGUAAACUAACAAGUAACAACGAUCGAGCAGCGGAAUCGAUCAGCUGGGCGGCUCACAGACCCGUCAACCACCACCCUCAUCCGGUCGAGACAGAACGUGCACUCAUCAACCUUCUCGUCCGGAUGCUUUCCAGUUUUAUAGUUCGCCAGCCAAGCAGCCAGCCAGCUGAGCUCCACAGAAAGAAUAAAGAAACAAGAUAGAAAGAAAAAAAUAAAGUAAAAGAGAAGGAAGUGUUUGAAAGGAAAUUCCGCCACUUACAAAGUGCUGGGAGAGGGAAGCGAAUGCACGCAGAUCCGAGCCAGAACUCCCCCUGAAUCGCCAUUACAAGCAAGCUAUGACGGAGUCGGCGGAGCAUCGCCGCAACUCCUCGUCUUCCUCGUCUUCCUCCGCUUCCGUCGAUGUCCAGGUACCGAGUUCCAAGUCCGAGAUCGGAGGUGCAACCUCCAGCGGCAACGGUGUCGAAGUGAAAAUUAGCGGUGAUGCUGCUGCUGCUGGCGGCGGCGGGAAUUCAGUGAAUGACGGAGGUAAAACUGAUCGUUGAAAUUGCGUUUUACUUUACUUGUUGCUAUUUCGCGAGAAUUCCAACUGUUUUUCCCUCUGUUUGAUCAACUUUGAAUUCUUUGAUUCUUUUUCGAAUCUUAGUUUUCAAUUUUGCGUUUCUGUUGCUGAGUUUUGUUACACGGUCGUUGGAGUUCGUCGUGACUGAGACAGCGAGUUCUGGUCAAUGCUCGGUCAAUUUGUUUUCUGUUACGGUGAUCGCUUUGAUAGGCGCUACUAGAUGUAGGAAUUAGUUCUGCAGAAAGAAACGACAGAUUUUUUCCAUGUAGUAUUGAUCAUUUUGGCGCUACCGUUAUUUGUUCUAAGUCUCUCUGUUCCGUAAUCAACAAUUCAUGUGCUGAGAGAAGAACUAGUACCUUUCGGGAUGGACUUGAACUGCAAGCUCUACUGGUUUGUGAGACAAUAUUUGACUGGUUGAGAAGUUUUCAUCGCUCCUCGGAUGUGACAUGGCGUAAGGUCUUGGUUGACAGUAUGGCUGCUAUAUAUAGCGAAGUACAAAGAGAAACCUACCUUUAUGCAGUUCCUAAAGACCAUGCCAUGAAAUCAGGACACUAGUGUGUGUCUAACUUGGAACCUUUAUUCGUGUAGUUGUGGUUGUAACAUGGAGCCUUAAGAGAGUCAUUGUUAGAGAGAUGAUACCGCUCUUUUACUGUCUGUUCUUUGAAUCAAAAGCCUAGUUGAGCAAUUUUGAACUUCUUGUGACUUGAACUGAGGUUGUAUUUGGUUAUACAGAUCUUAUGAAAGGAACAUAAAUAAUUAGUAUGUGCAGAUCAUUUUCUUGUCUUUUUGUUGUUUGUAGUUAUGUUUGUGGUUUUUCCAACCUGUGUUUGUAUUUGUUAUGUCGAUGAGGUCACAGUGAUGAUAAAAAUCUUCAGUAGGAUUCUCUUUGUAAUUGUAUGCUGAACUAUCAUUUUAGGAGAUGCUGCAGAAUCUACAUCAAGGACUAAAGGGCUGGAAUCAACUUCAAGUCAAUUGAAGUUGGAAAGAUCUAAGACUGAGAGACAAAGACCUCACAACAUACUUGCUGAAGAGGCAGCACAAAUUUUUGAUGAUAAAAUUCCUGUCCAGCAGAAGGUAAUUAAUUCUUAUUAAUAUUAUUUUUAGCUUUGUAUAAUUUUUCCAGUGCAGCGACUGUUCUGUGGCACAAAAGAUGCUGGGCUCCUGUUUGUUUAGCUCUUUUACUUGUACCAAUGGAGUGUUGAGGUUUUGUUGAUACCUUGCUUGAGAUUUUCAUUUGUUUUAUUAAAAUGUGCAGCUUCAAUUGUUAAAAAGAAUAGCUACUGUCAAGGAUAACGGGACUGUAGAAUUUGAAGUUCCAGGAGAUGUUGAACACCGAGCUCUUGACACUAGAGGUGAAGAUGCUUGCUCCACAGCUGCUGGGGAUGAGCCUCUCGAUGCAGCAGAGCUUCAGUAUAUACCUCCUUUGCAAGUAGUAAUGCUUAUUGUUGGCACACGUGGAGAUGUGCAGCCUUUUAUUGCUAUCGGGAAACGACUGCAGGUAAAGUUGAAAUUCCUGUUCCUUUAAAUGGCUGUGCUCUGUGUAGCCUGUAGAAGCUUUACCUAAUAGUAUCAUGUUAUGUCUUCAGUGGUGCCUUGGUUCAUCGUAGCUUUGAUGUCUUAUUGUUCCUAUGAUGUGGAUCCUUCAAAAAUCCCUGAUUAUUGGUAUUUAGAAGAUAAAGAAUGUGAAUUUAAGCUUCAAUCUUGACUUCUUUUUUUGGGCUUAUAUAUAAAUAAUUGACUCUAGCUUUUAAGAAGAGGAACGCCUGAACAUUUGAUUUAUCUGCAGGAUUAUGGUCAUCGUGUCAGACUAGCUACUCAUUCAAAUUUUAAGGAGUUUGUCUUGACAGCUGGGUUGGAGUUUUAUCCAUUAGGCGGAGAUCCAAAGAUUUUGGCUGGUUGUAUGUACCUAACACUCUUCACAAUCAUCUCGUCUUAUCCAUAUAUCCCUAGCAUUUGAACUCUAAGCUUUAUUUCCAAGGAUUUGCACUUAACUUGUAUUCAGGAGAAAAUACGUCACAUACAAAGAAAAAAUAUAUCCCUAGCAUUUGAACACUAAGCAGUUAUCUUAUUAGUUGAUAGGAAACCUUUUAUCCUUUUCAUUCAGAAAAAAAUUUGUCAUAGUUUUAUUUAGCAAAUGAGAUUUAGUCUGCUCAGCGGUAUGCUGUAUCAAGCACUUGCAUUUGUUGAUAGUGAACUCAAUAGCAACCCUUGUGACUUGUCUGCUCGUCUUCUGAUCAGACAUGGUGAAAAAUAAAGGCUUCCUGCCAUCCGGGCCGUCAGAGAUACCUGUGCAGCGAACUCAAUUGAAGGACAUAAUAUGGUCCUUACUCGCUGCUUGUAAGGAACCUGAUAUGGAUUCUGGCAUCCCCUUUAAGGCAGAUGCUAUAAUUGCCAAUCCUCCAGCAUACGGUGAGUUUCUGCAUAACAAUAAAGUUGAAUAGCUGUUUUGUUGAAUUUGAAGAGUCUCUGGUACUCUCAUCUUCUUCUGUUGAUUGUUUGCUUUGCCUAGUUACUUGUGAUUCUUCUGUAUUGAUUGGAUUGUUUCAUUUUGAGUGUUAUUUCUGUAUCCAUUUUGGAAAACUUAUAUUAUAGAAAUUAACCUGCUUCAUACCUAUUAGGGCAUACUCAUGUAGCAGAGGCACUGAAAGUCCCGAUCCACAUAUUCUUCACCAUGCCAUGGACGUAAGUUUCAACUGGUUGAUGCUUCCGUUGGAUAUAUUUCCCUGAUAGUAGUGUAGUGAGUUAUUUACUCUAUGCUUUAGUCAUCUUGAUCAUUGUUUGUUAUAAACAUUCCUAUGAGGGCUUACUUAAAAAAUGUUUUAUAUCAUUAUAUGCUCUCAUCAGGCCUACUAGUGAGUUUCCACAUCCUUUGUCUCGGGUCAAGCAACCAGCUGGCUAUAGGGUGAGUCCAUUGCUCACUUCUUCUCUAACCUCCAGCAAGUGGAAGAAGGAAAUAAAUACAAAUCCAUGCUUCUGUUUCAUUUCUCUACAUCAUCUCUUUUGACUGUUGCUCUCUCUAUGUUUGUAGCUGUCAUAUCAAAUAGUUGAUUCUCUGAUUUGGCUUGGAAUACGGGAUAUGAUAAAUGACGUUAGGAAAAAGAAGUUGAAGCUACGUCCUGUUACCUAUCUUAGUGGUUCACAGGGCAGUGAGUCAGAAGUGCCACAUGCAUACAUAUGGAGUCCUCAUCUUGUUCCGAAACCAAAAGGUACUCUAGGGCUGUUGGGUGGUCAAACAUUUUGGAUAAAUUGUUUCGUGGUUUAUUCGCACCAAAGUAAAAGUGCAUUAAAAGAAAACAAAUGUCUUAGUUCAGUAGAUGUUGCAUCUCAACGUUCUGCAUAAAUAGUUAUAUCUUCUCUUGGUAGAUAAACUUCCAACUGAUUGUUAUUGUAGACUGGGGCCCAAAAAUAGAUGUGGUGGGUUUUUGCUUUCUCGAUCUAGCAUCAAAUUUUGAACCUCCAGAAGAACUCGUCAAAUGGCUGGAAGCUGGUCCAACACCCAUUUAUAUUGGUUUUGGUAGUCUUGUGAGUCUGCUCCACUCCUUUAUCUUUAUGAACUUUCUUGAAUAGAUUCUCGUAGCUUUGUCUGCAGUAAUUUACUGGGAGGGUUACCAACAUUGGUAAAACUAUUUAAAUUACUGGGAGGGUUCAUGUUUGAGUUCUCUGUCUAAUGGAAGUCUGGUGUUUUCUGGUCUCAUUAUGUGGAAAUUUCUCACAGUUGUGGUAUUGUUUCAGCCAGUUCAGGAGCCUGAGAAAAUGACCCAAAUUAUUGUGGAGGCAUUGGAACAGACUGGGCAGAGAGGCAUCAUUAACAAAGGCUGGGGUGGUCUAGGAAACUGUAAGCUUACUGUCACCAUUGGAAGCUUUUUUCGCUAAACAGUUUGUGGUCUCUGGAUUCUAACACUUCAAUAUUUUCCUGUAUCGAUCAUUGAGUUUUGUUAAUUGUCUCAGUGGCAGAGCCAAAGGACUGUAUAUAUCUCUUAGACAACAUCCCCCAUGACUGGCUGUUCCUGCAAUGCAAAGCAGUGGUAAGACUCCAUUAAAGUUAUAAUAUAUAUGGACCUUUAAAAGGAUUAGAUGAACGUGAACAUCUGGAACUCAGCAAUUAGUCGAUUUCUUAAUAUAACUGUCAAUUUUGGUUCGUUACUGUUUCCACCAUUGGCUUUCAGGUUCAUCAUGGAGGGGCUGGGACGACAGCUGCUGGUCUUAAAGCUGCUGUAUGAGCUCAAAAUCAUUCCCACUAGUUUCAUAUUCUACUCUGUCAAAGAUGUGCCUGCAUUACUAUUCUUCCAUCUUUAUUCUUGUUUGUGAUAUUGUUGCAGUGCCCGACAACAAUCGUACCCUUCUUCGGCGACCAACCUUUCUGGGGUGAAAGAGUACAUGCUAGAGGAGUCGGUCCGCCUCCUAUUCCAGUCGAGGAAUUCACGCUCGAUAAGUUGGUCGACGCUAUAAAGUUCAUGCUAAAGCCCCAGGUAUACUGCAGCUUUCCCUCCUUACUGUCUUCAUUAUUAACCCUAGGUAGAUGGUUGACACAACUAUGAAAAAACAAAAGCCAAAACCUAUUGGGAAUCCCAAAAUGUGUUUUCUUCCUCGAGAGGAAAAUGGAAUCGAAUUGGGCAGAAUCCUUCAUUUCCGUUUGUUUGGUAGGAAAGUUGGGAUGUUAUCUCCAGGGAGAACCAAGUUGUGAAUUGAUUCCAAUUUUCUUAUUUUUGUUUGACAGGUGAAGGAGAAGGCAUUGGAGUUGGCCAAGGCAAUGGAGAACGAAGACGGAGUAGCUGGAGCAGUCGCAGCAUUCUUCAAGCAACUUCCUAAGAAGAAGAAGAAGGACGAGCCCGAGCGAGUUCCGGAGCCAUCGAGCAUGUUCUCGUUCAGCCGAUGCUUCGGCUGUUCCUGAAAACAUGCAAUCAGCAGCCUUCCUUGAUGAGAAGAUUGAUGAUUUAGUUGUGAAAUUAUCUUCCGGCGUUUCGAAUACAUCAAAAUCGAAAGAUGCAUCUGUUGUAAUGUAGUCCGCGGAAGAUCCAAAUUCCGAAAGCCGUGUGUCGUAAAUCCUUACAGUGAAUCUGUUUUCCCUUGUUUUCCUCAUUCAUCAGUUUGCAGAUGCAACUCAGACAGUAAUCUGGCUGUGUAAAAAACGGUUCGCCGUUAUUCUUCGAAAGAAAACAUAGUACAUAGAUUGUGCAAAGUGUCAAGAACAAUUAUUUUACCAGAACUAACGUAACAAUCACUAAACUAGAUCUCGCCAGUAAGAUUUGGCAACUUAUUACUUGUGGAUUUUGAAUGCUGACAUAUAGACAAUACAUUAUUUAUUUAUUUUUCUUCUGACAUCGGCAUAGUGGUGAUUCGGAAAUUUGUCAAAAGAAUGUUUUCUUCGUGUAACAUAAAAAGUCAACAACAUAACAUUUAAAAAUAGUAUGAUAAUCGCUUAUCUCGAGAUUACAAAUAGCACCGACACUGGUUCCGGAAGCCAUCAAAACUUGGCUAUUAUACUACCUUCAUACAUCAUUUGCCACUUUCAAUCAUAUAUAUGUACAGACCGUGGAUGAAUUAUGCAUAAUCUUCUUGUGAAUGACAACUUGCUUAUAUUAUUAAAAGCAAUUAGAAGCAAUUGUGAUUGAGAUGGUAAGAUUACUUGUAGCAAUGGAGCCAAUGACGAUCCCACUUGUAGCAAAUAGGUCACCUGUACUGCAUCCGCCAUGAACUUAAUUACUUGUAACAAUCACGGCAUUUGAAAUGGUAAGAAAGUCGCACAUCGACGACGUACGUAGAAUUAGAAACAACCCCAAUCUUGUAAGAAAGGCACACGUAAGUAAGUUGACGAGCAAACUAGAAGCGGAAAUGUACGAGAAACCCGGAGGAAAUUCUGAUAGACCAAACUUUUGGGUUUGACCCGGCCGACUGAAUAGCGUGGAAAUCGGGUCGGCGGCGCUCUCUGUCUGCUGGUGGCCGCCACCCAGUUCAGCCAUCGUUAGUCCGUACGCUUCCUGCACUUCAGUUUAUAAAACCCAAGCUGAACGUACGUAUACAUAUAUGAUUCAUUAUGUCUAAGAAUAUUGGUUUUAUACUACUCAUUAUAACACACUCACUUGUUUAUGCUAUGAACCAUUGUACUUUAAUAAUUCGAUCGAAUUGCAUGUUGGGAGAGAGUUCAAAAUUGGUUUAUAUACCCGCUAGCUAAUACCCUCCACCCUUAAACAGAAAGUCUCAGAAUAAUAUGAGCUAGUCUUGCAUAGCUUCGAUGAUAAGUCUAUUUGUGCAAUGAAUUGGGAGAUAUGUACCAGUAUCUGAAACAUAGAUUUCUCAAUCAUUAAAAGCUUCGAUGCCAAUGCUAUAAAUUAUUGCGUUCCAAUAAUUUGAGUUGUUGGGAGAGAGUUUAAAAUUUAUUAUUAAGAAAUAAGGAGUGAUUUAUAAACGUAACAUGUGCGCCACACAUAUGGUCAUCUCAGUGGUGGAGCACAGUUGAUAGCAUAGUGCACUGGCCUGGAGAUCUCUCGCGUUCGAUCUGCUAUUUGUGGACACCUUUGUUUCUUUCUUCAAGUUUAGGUUAGCGCUAUCUUGAUUCUAUUUGUAAUAAAAAUCUCAUAUAUGUUUUAAAUUUCUAGUAAUUCAAGUAAAAAUACAAAAUUAUUUGAAGCAUAAAUAAAAAAAUACAUUAGGUAGAAAUCAAAUUAGAAGAAAGAUCCUUGAGUGAAGUUUACCAUAUAUAUCCACUUGACUACUUGAGAGCGAUGGUUUAGUGGGUUGAAGUUUGCUAUUUUUCGCCAACUCUCGACCAACUAUAUAUAUAUAUAUAUUUGUUUUAAAAAUGCAAAAAAAAAAUUUUAAAAUUUCUUACUUGAAAUUUUUUCUUACUUACUACUGAUGUGAAGCAUAAAUUACCAUAAUUAUUCAAAAUUAAGAGCAAUAAUGAAAUUUUAUGUUUAAUAUAACAUUGUAUUUUUAUUGUAUAUAAUGCAAAAAUUAUUAGUAUUGUUAAGAUAUAUGAAAUUAUUAAUUCUUAACUAUUUCAACAUACAUUAUUUAUUUCUGAUGUGUAGCAGGCGGCAGUUGCAGGGUCUGCCGUCGCCGGAGAUGAAGGUGAAUCGGCCAGUGUAGGGUCAGUAGUUGGGUCAUCAGACAUCACCUACUCCGUACGUAAAUAUAUAUAGCGUUUCAAAAGAAACCCCGUCAUUUAGCUGUCCGCGCCUGGAUAAAUUUAUAAUGCAGGCGGGGGGGGGGACCAAAAAUUGCUCGCCGGGGGGGGUUUUACAAACCGAAACAAUGGNNNNNNNNNNNNNNNNNNNNNNNNNNNNNNNNNNNNNNNNNNNNNNNNNNNNNNNNNNNNNNNNNNNNNNNNNNNNNNNNNNNNNNCGAUGCUUCUAGGGGCGGCAGUCCAGUGAAUAACGGAGGUUAGUACAUAUAUAGCUAUAUGUAACCUGUACCUGGACUGGAAGUUGACUUGAGUUCUAUGAGUCCAUAUGUUACAUACCGGUGCAACACACAUAUCAAAACAUAGUAGACGUGGUAACACUAUUACAUUUGUAGUCUUUUUUUUACUGUCACCUCCUCUUUCCCUUCCUUUUUUACCCUUUCGGCAAGCAUCGAAUCAUUGAUCAGGAUAAUUCAAUACACUAAUUAAUCGGGAUUGUAAAAAAAAGUUAAAAUAUUAAAAAAAUUACACUAACUUAAACCCUCUUUAAACAAAUGAUACAUAGGGAUUUUUUUAUUUUACAAUGUGCUCUCCAAAUUUGGAAGCCUGGUGAAAAUGCAGGAUUAGAAGUUCUAGUUGAUAUUGUCGAAUCAUAAACUCUUUGCCGUUAGAGGUCUUGAAGAUAAUUUGUCUGUGCAGCUGCAGGAGCUGAUGAGCCUCUCGAUGCAGUAGAGUUUCAGAAUGUACCACCAUUGCAAAUAGUAAUGCUUAUUGUUGGCACUCGAGGAGAUGUACAGCCAUUCGUUGCGAUCGGUCUACGACUGAAGGUUAAGUUGCAAAUCCGCUUUCCGGUCUUCUAAUGCUGUAUCGAUGAUGUAGUUUAUAAAUUCUUGAUGUCAAGGUCUCAUGCGUUUGUUCAUCAUAGAGGCUCUGAGUUUAAGCUUCAAUCUUAAAAGCUUUUAGCUCUUGAGAAGACUGAAAGUUUGAUUUUUGGUUGCAGAAUUAUGGCCAUCGUGUGAGAGUAGCUACUCAUUCAAUAUUUAAGGAGUUUGUCUUGACAGCUGGGUUGGAGUUUUAUCCUCUAGGUGGAGACUCAAAGGUUCUUGCUAGUUGUAUGUACCUAACCCUCUUCACAGUCCUCAUCUC